RNAcentral lists this RNase P RNA (399 nucleotides) under Bacteroidia bacterium. Its description in RNAcentral is "RNase P RNA component class A". It matches the Rfam family "Bacterial RNase P class A". From Rfam's summary of the family: Ribonuclease P (RNase P) is a ubiquitous endoribonuclease, found in archaea, bacteria and eukarya as well as chloroplasts and mitochondria. Its best characterised activity is the generation of mature 5'-ends of tRNAs by cleaving the 5'-leader elements of precursor-tRNAs. Cellular RNase Ps are ribonucleoproteins. The record is from RNAcentral. Lineage: Bacteria; Pseudomonadati; Bacteroidota; Bacteroidia.
CUGUAAAAACAGCUUGUCGCUUUUGGGGUUAAGCCUAAAAGAGGAAAGUCCGGGCAACACAGAGCAACAUACUACCUAACUGGUAGGAGACCCAAUAUAAUGUUGGGUCUACAGCAAGUGCCACAGAGAAUAUACCGCCAAGCAGCAAUGUUUGGUAAGGGUGAAAAGGCGGUUUAAGAGACCACCGCUUGUGCAGCAAUGUACAAGGCAUGGUAAACCUUAUGUGUUGCAAGGCCAAAUAGGUUACGAGGUGUUGCAGCAAUGUAACACAAAGUGCUGCUCGCACUUUCGUAAUGGGUAGGCUGCUAGAUUCUAACCGCGAGGUUGGAGCCAGAUAAAUGACAAGCAUACUCCGGUAACGGAGCGUAACAGAACCCGGCUUAUCGUUUUUACAAAAUA